UACGUAGGGAGCGAGCGUUAUCCGGAAUCACUGGGUGUAAAGGGAGCGUAGACGGUCAUGCAAGUCUGGAGUGAAAGGCGGGGGCCCAACCCCCGGACUGCUCUGGAAACUGUGUAACUGGAGUGAAGUAGAGGCAGGCGGAAUUCCCGGUGUAGCGGUGAAAUGCGUAGAGAUCGGGAGGAACACCAGUGGCGAAGGCGGCCUGCUGGGCUUUAACUGACGCUGAGGCUCGAAAGUGUGGGGAGCAA
RNAcentral lists this ribosomal RNA (248 nucleotides) under uncultured Lachnospiraceae bacterium. Its description in RNAcentral is "partial 16S ribosomal RNA". It matches the Rfam family "Bacterial small subunit ribosomal RNA", at positions 524 to 771 of the family's 1533-position model. The record is from RNAcentral. Lineage: Bacteria; Bacillati; Bacillota; Clostridia; Lachnospirales; Lachnospiraceae.